UACGUAGGGGGCAAGCGUUGUCCGGAAUCAUUGGGCGUAAAGAGCGUGUAGGCGGCCAGGUAGGUCCGUUGUGAAAACUAGAGGCUCAACCUCUAGACGUCGAUGGAAACCAUCUGGCUAGAGUCCGGAAGAGGAGAGUGGAAUUCCUGGUGUAGCGGUGAAAUGCGCAGAUAUCAGGAAGAACACCCGUGGCUAAGGCGGCUCUCUAGUACGGUACUGACGCUGAGACGCGAAAGCGUGGGGAGCGAACAGG
This 253-nucleotide ribosomal RNA is filed under the name uncultured bacterium. Its description in RNAcentral is "partial 16S ribosomal RNA". It matches the Rfam family "Bacterial small subunit ribosomal RNA", at positions 524 to 776 of the family's 1533-position model. The record is from RNAcentral.